Molecule: non-coding RNA, 28 nt
Filed under: Mus musculus (house mouse)
Lineage: Eukaryota; Metazoa; Chordata; Mammalia; Rodentia; Muridae
Source: RNAcentral
UCGUGUGCAAUGUUAUUCUUCCUUUUCC